CAGUAGCCGCGGGAAUACGGAGGGUGCAAGCGUUAAUCGGAAUUACUGGGCGCAAAGCGCACGCAGGCGGUCUGUCAAGUCAGAUGUGAAAUCCCCGGGCUUAACCUGGGAACUGCAUUUGAAACUGGCAGGCUAGAGUCUUGUAGAGGGGGGUAGAAUUCCAGGUGUAGCGGUGAAAUGCGUAGAGAUCUGGAGGAAUACCGGUGGCGAAGGCGGCCCCCUGGACAAAGACUGACGCUCAGGUGCGAAAGCGUGGGGAGCAAACAGGAUUAGAUACCCCGGUAGUCCCUGUCUCUUAUAA
This 301-nucleotide ribosomal RNA is filed under the name uncultured bacterium. RNAcentral's name for it is "partial 16S ribosomal RNA". It matches the Rfam family "Bacterial small subunit ribosomal RNA", at positions 509 to 809 of the family's 1533-position model. The record is from RNAcentral.